Molecule: ribosomal RNA, 667 nt
Filed under: Acrotaphus sp. BF001022
Lineage: Eukaryota; Metazoa; Arthropoda; Insecta; Hymenoptera; Ichneumonidae
Description: eukaryotic LSU rRNA
Rfam family: Eukaryotic large subunit ribosomal RNA
Source: RNAcentral
CCUGAGAAACCCAAAAGAUCGAAAGGGGAGAUUCAUCGUCAGCGUUACUGGUACGUGGGCGGUUCGCGAUGUCCGAGACUUCGGUCUCGCGAUACGCGUCCGCUCGACCUUAUUGACUGGUAUCGUCGGCGUGCACUUCUCCUCUAGUAGGACGUCGCGACCCGUUGAGUGUCGGUCUACGGCCCGGGUGGGUGCCUGUUUCGUGUGCGCUUUAUCGCGUCACUGCGAGACAGACCCCCGGAUGCUUGACCGUCUGCUCGGCGGUACUCGCAAGGUAUUUGGCCGCAAAUAUUCGAACUGCGUCCGGCCCGUCGCAAGCGAGGCGAGUGCUUCCCGAAUGUACGGAUCUAAUGCCGUCAUCGGGCCUAGCCAGCUGUUGGUUGACGGUGUCCUAGGACUGGCUAUAAAAAUUAUGAUACCGGUCAGCGACGCUACUGCUUUGGGUACUUUCAGGACCCGUCUUGAAACACGGACCAAGGAGUCUAACAUGUGCGCGAGUCAUUGGGAAAUAAUAAGCCUAAAGGCGCAAUGAAAGUGAAGGUCGGCUUCGCGUCGACCGAGGGAGGAUGGGCCGUGUCACGAUGCGGUCCCGCACUCCCGGGGCGUCUCGUUCUCAUUGCGAGAAGAGGCGCACCCAGAGCGUACACGUUGGGACCCGAAAGAUGGU